CUAGCAAAUAAAAAUCAUAAAAUCUCCGACCAUUAUUACAUAUCUCUCUCACUCUCUCUCUCUACCUACGAUUGACAACAAGAACAAGAAAAUUGAAAUUUGUAGAGAAAAAAAGAAUCCAGAGGAUAUGGAUUCGAGUUUCUCCUCUCUGUUCUAUCAUCUUUUACUUCAAUUUAAUAAUGAACCCAGACCUCAAAUCUUCUUCUUUGAAGAAGAUGGCCGCUCAAUCUGAAAACUCCUCCUCUCUAUCAUCAUGAUAUCCUCUACUGCCACGAAGCCUAUUUUAACCCCCGAGAAGAUGACAAGAACAAGAACAGAACACUACAUUAGUAGCACCCAUUCUCAGAUCCACCACCUCCCCCAAGAAGAAGAAGAGAGAAGAGUUAGUCUUUCUUCUCUCAAAAGAGAAGAACACCAUACCAAUGCUGCUUCACCUUUACCGGUCCUUUAUAUCCAAGCUAGAAGAGAUGCUAUCGACUGGAUUUUGAAUGUCAUUGCCCAUUACUCUUUCUCCACUCUCACAGCCGGUUCUAUCUGUCAACUAUUUCGAUCGAUUCCUCUCCAUUUUCCAGAUUCAGAAAGAGAAACCAUGGAUGACCCAUCUCACGGCCGUUGCUUGUCUCUCUUUAGCUGCUAAAGUUGAAGAACCCAUGUCCCCCGUCUCUUGGACCUUCACAAGUAUGUUAUAAUUUCCAUACAGGCUACAUUUCCUGUUGUUUUUUUUCUUGCAUUUUUUUUUGAUACUUUGACUGUAAAAAUAAGGUUUGAAGAGACACGAUAUUUGUUUGAGGCAAAAACAGUACAAAGAAUGGAGAUUCUGGUUUGUCUACCCUCCAUUGGAGGAUGAAUCCGACGACCCCCACUUGAUUUUCUUAACCACAUUGCAAGAAAGCUAGGCUUAAAUGGAAAUCUCUUCUGUCAAUUUCUCAGUAGAUGCGAAAGCCAUAUUAUGUCACUCCUUUCUGAUUAUAGAUUUGUGGGUUAUCUUCCUUCUGUAAUCGCUACUUCCACAUGCUGUUCAUCAUCGGUGGAGGAAUUGCAGAGGCUUGUUUGACGGGCAGAAUACCAAUCACAGGCUUUUCGGCGGAUCUUGAAAUCGAUAAGGUUAGUUAGCUAGCUAGCUAAAUGAUUUGUGUGAUUAAAAGAAUUAAAAUGAUACUGAUUGAUUGAUCGAUCGAUUAUAUAUAUCAUCAGGAUAAAGUAAAGGAAUGCUGUAAAGUAAUGUUGGAAUCAGCUUCCGAGAAGGAAACGCAAGAACCGAUGUCUACCGGGAAGUCCUAAUGGGGUGAUGGACGCAGCGUUUAGCUGCGAAAACUCCAGCGAUUCGUGGGCGGUGGGUGGUGGUGGUGAUGGUGGUUCUUCUUCUUCGCCGGAGCGAGCAGUGAAGAAGGGAAGAACAGGGGUGGAGGAGGAUGUUUUCUGGUUUGACUGUUCUUCUUCUUCUUCUUCUUAUGAGUAGUAAUAAUGUUUGUUUUAUCUUGAUAGUAGUAAAUGGAGGAUCUUGAUUCCUCCUAAUAAGGAUUAGCGCGACAUAAGAUGAAAGUUUGUCGUUAAAUUGUCGGAUUUUGGAUCCAAUCGUUAAUCAUCGGCAAAUGUUUGAAGGAAUUCUUGUUGUUGUUAUUGUUGGAUUACUAUCAACUUUUAGUUAAUCUAAACUUGUUAUUUCCCUUCUAAUAAUUCAUCUUUUUGUCUUAUUCAA
Long non-coding RNA from Impatiens glandulifera, 1699 nucleotides. RefSeq lists it as uncharacterized. Lineage: Eukaryota; Viridiplantae; Streptophyta; Magnoliopsida; Ericales; Balsaminaceae. The transcript has 2 exons. The record is from RefSeq and is a predicted model, not a curated record.